UCGCCAGGUCCUCGUCGUGAAAAAAAGAGUCGCGGUCGCGCUCCGCAAAGACGAGAGGCAUCCCUCGCGUUACAUCCCGAUCGUCCUCGUGGCGCGAGUCGCUCUCGUCGGCAGGAAACGAUGAACGAUGAGCACGCGCUUCGAUCCGUAGAUCGCGUCGCGUACCUGACAGCGUCCGGAGCCGGCGCGCUCAACGGUGCUAUAUCGCGAGCAGCUCUCGAACGAGAGUGAAAGCGCGGGUGGUGUUGCAUGCGGAAGCGGCUGCUUUGCAUUUCGUUCUUUAUCACGCGACAUGUAGGACCGAUUAGAUUUCCAUCGGGAACACUUGAUUCGUGACUCGUGACUCGCCCGGUGUCGGGCUUGUUAAAUUGCAAGAUUAACCCGCUCUGAAUUAAUGAACAAUUACGUCGGUUAAUUCUUCAUGUGCUGUACGAGGCUCCUGCGAGCUCCUCGGCGGAGCGCGGGAGCCGUGCCGUCAUUGAUCUAAAUCACGUCGCUUUUCGGGACUCGCCGGCGAUCGGAUCCCGUUGAUCCGUUCAUCGCGGCGCGAAGUUUUCGCGAAGAGUCACGUGCGGUGACCGCGAAUGGAGGGGAAGACGAAUUUGUGGCAAAUUUGAGAAGUCACCGGCGGUACAUGAGGACCCGUGAAGUUCCUAGUGAAUAUAUGGCAACGUCCACGGUGGCGGAUCAUCAUGACAUCGUCGGGAGAACUUCCCCGAAUGUUGCCGAACGCGUUCUUCCCAUGAACGUCUGCCCGCCGAGCAACUUCCCGGACAAGUUUCAAGAUUUCUUCGCGGCGCUUACCGAGGACGGCGACGACCUACCCAACAUGCUCGAGGACAAGCUUAUACCGAGAAAGCCGGAUGGCACGGGCGUCGACGCGAAAAAUCGGCGGACCUGGAACAAACGGACCUUCCAGAGGCGGAGCAGCGAGGUCGAGGUCCGUCUCCAUCAUACCUCGCUGUCCGGGUCUCAGGGUCACAGCUGCGUGGACGGACCGAAAUCGCCGACCUCGAGGCGCAGAAGUUCCAGCAUCGCGGUUGCCAGACCCACGCCGGACUUACACAGAUUUCUGCAAGCGGAGGCCGGUCCCUGGGGUCACCUGUCACCCUCGCCUAGAAGUCCGACCAGAACGCCGGCCUUGAGUCCUGGCGCCGUGUCAUCGUCAUCUCAUCUGAGCGCGAGCGCGAGCCCAAGCGGACCCAGUCCGACGAGUCCCUCCGGUUCAGCUAGCUUGACGUCUGGGAUUCGCGGAGGCCCCGGCCCCAGGCAAUAUCGCAGUAGAACGAGCAGCAUGCCGGCUGUUCCACGUCACAGGCCGAUGCUGGCCGAUACGAGACGCGCUGGUGGCACAGCGGGGUGCGAGGAGGGCGAGACCGAAGACGGGGUUGAAUAUUACAGGCUCCGGUCUUUCUCCAUAACGGCGAACGGGGUGUAUAACUUGGGCGACUCGUUGAAGACACGCCGCAGCAAGAGCAUCAACAGCGUCACCUCCUCCACCAGCUGCAGCAGCACCCGGGAAGGUAGAUUACUCAGCUCGGCCUCGCAGCUCUCCGGCAUGGAGGCGGAAGAAGAAGCCGGCAACGAGCGGGUGGCGACGUACAAAGUGGGCAUGCUGGGCGCGUCGGAAGUCGGGAAAACCGCCCUAACUGCACAAUUCACCACGAGCGACUACAUUUGCGCUUACGACGCCUCUCUCGACGAGGAGUACGGGCAGAAGAACGUAUCGGUGAUGCUCGAUGGGCAGGAGACGGAAUUAGAAAUCAUUGAUCACCCCGCCUCGGAGAUGUCAGUCGAGACUUUUUGUUCAACUUACAAUCCGGACGUGUACGUGGUGGUGUACUCGGUGGUGGACAGAAGGAGCUUAAAGGUGGCCGAGGAGACGCUGCUCUAUUUGUGGAAGAGCGAUUAUAUGACGACUCACGGUGUCAUCCUGGUUGGUAAUAAAGUGGACCUCGAGAGGAAGCGGGAAGUUCCGUCAGUGGUUGGCCGCCGUUUGGCAAACAGCUGCGGUUGCAAGUUCAUCGAGACGUCGUCGGGUCUGGCCCAUCACGUGGACGAGCUUCUGGUCGGCAUUCUGGCGCAAAUCAAGCUGAAUCCGCAGCGCAACCGGGACCAGGUGACCAGGCGCCGUCGCAGCAAGCAGCGCAGCAGACGGAUUCUGAAGCACCUGCUCGGCUUCAAGAGGAAAACCAAGAGCUGCGAGAAUCUUUUCGUUCUCUAACGUUCUCCUCGCGCAGCGUCCCGUGUACGGCGCGAGAAGAAAGAAAAGUGAUUUCAUCAGAUCAGAUAUCGAUCGCCCGAGCGUGUCGCUCCUCGGUCCGCGAAUACGUGCGCUAUCUUCGCGAAUAGAUCAAGCUUCUGGAAAUUACGCAGACACAGUCCGAGAUGCAAAGUUUCGCGGCGAUAAAUAUUUUAUGUAGAAGAUAGAAAUUGAAAACUUUGUUCUUAAUUUCUAGUCUUUUACAUAUAAGAUUGUAUAAAUAAAUACAUUUUUAACAUCGAAAUACCGUAUUUUUUGUUCCCUUUGGUUUCAUAAUGCAUUUUCUCACUGAGUCUGAUAAGCCCCUUAAUUAAAGCGAAACACGUGUCGGUGUAUGUGUGCGUGUGUUUUAAGCGCGUAAGUAAUAAUUUUAUGAGAGCUUCGCUGUUGCUUCGCACUUUUAUAUCCGCGUGCGCAGAGAAUGACUAUAUAUUAUUAUAUAUAUUCCGUAUAUUCCUGUGACACGUCAUCGCGAUGUUGUGAUUUAUCACGAUGAGGAUUACGUGACGCUGAAAAUAGGAUAAGAGCAGCGCAGCGCGAUAUAAUAUCGGAAAUAAAAUCAUCGAUAACGAAACGGGGCGUGUGAUAAAAAUUACAUUUACGAGAUGCGAAUAUUCCGCGUCUGAUACGGGCCGAGCUGUCAUAAACUCACGCGAACGGACGAAUGUAAUUUGCGAUAAUGCGGCUUUGAGGCGCAAAAUUCGUUUUGGCGUUUCGGGAAGAAAAUUCUGAAAGGAAAUUCUGCAAAGAUCUCCCAAUGUUUCGCGUCAUAUUUAUGCUGUGUAUACGCAUGCUAAAACGGUCUAUUUGAAAGAUUAUCAUAAGUUCGUUACUUCUCCGAAUUAUAGAUAAGCCAAAACUGUAGCUAAUAACGUAGAUUAUUAAUGUUUAUAAAGCAGCAUGCUAGUAUAGUAAUGAUAACAGUAAUAACUACGUAAUAAUACCAAUUAAUAACAGGAAAGCUGAUCGCUUUGCUACCUUGUGCGUCGGACAUUAAUUACGAAAAACACCAAUUUGUACAGACAUUUUAAUUGUCUCUCAUGAUAGAUCAAAGAUACGGAUCCGCAGCGAAUAAAUAUAUAUAUUACAUUAAACUAACUUCAUCAAAUCGAGAUACACGGAGAUUCGUAGCAGCGAAUCUCUUAAACUGAAAGAAACUGCUUCGCCGAAAUCUGCGAUGCAUGAAUCCUUCGACCGCGAAUAAUUGUCUGAACUUAAAGGAGAGCGUAUAUUCGCUGAAACACAGGCCGGUAUUCAUAGUCAGAUCUUAUAUUUAAGAUCGUUUUAAGUUUAUCUUUAGAUACUCCGUAGUCAAUGAAACGAGUCAUACAGCAUCUGAAUGACUAUGAAUAUCGGCCACAAUCAGUAUGAGGAUACGCUCGUCAAUAUUGGAAUCCUCAGGCAAUGCACGAAUACUCUCGUCGCCGGGCUGGGAUCAACAAAUACAAUCGACCAAGCAAAUCUUGUAUGCAAAGUAGCUUCGCGGAGAGGGUCAAUAGUUAACGAUUUAGGGCAUGGAUAGAACUCAUGCGUGUGAAGUACGAAUGAUCCUGUCUAUAUCACACUGGUGUCUAGUCAUCAUCGAUAUUGCAUGUGAACGGCGGUUGACGCUUUUAUUUGGAACAUAUCAUGCAACCCUGCGAGAGACGCGGCCAUCGGUAUUAUUUUAUGAUGUCGAAAUGGACUGCACCGUUGUGGUUGCAUUGACCUCGUUUUCCCAAAAGGAGAAAAAGGAAGAAAGAUAUCCAAUAUUUUGAUUAGAUUCUGUCGUAUGUACGGAUUUUCCGUUGAAAUCCGAGUAAAAUAUGAAUGUUUUAUAUAUGGAUUUGUAAUAAAUUUCUUUCCUUUAUUUUUCUGCCAAAAAAGGGUAAGUUUUCUCUUUGAUCUCACUUAUUGUCGUUUACCUUAAAAUGAUAUAACGCAUAAACUCUAAAAUAAAUACAUGUAUAGUAUUAACACAUUGAUUGCUACGUCGUUCAUGAAUGACAUAUAAUUUCCAGGAAGUUAAACAUUGUUUCAACAAACAUGUUUUCUUUCUAUAGUUUACUUUUUUUCAACAAAAAAAAAUACGUCACGAACUCUAUUAAUAUUUCAAUCUGAAAUUAUGUUUUAUGGCAAAAAGAAAGAAAAAUUAUGAAAGGAAAACGUGUUUGGCUCUCUGAGAAUAUUUCAUGAAAUUGAAUGUCAUUUAAACGUAAAAGACGUGGCAAUCAAUGUGUUAAUUUCGCGUACGUUUUUUUUCCUUUUUUUAAAUUCUUUGUCCUUUUAUUCGCGCGAAUAACACGGUAGUGGACUGUAAGGGCGGCAAGGAUUGCAGUAUGGAUUCGGUGGCGAGGGUGGCUGCGGCAAUGUUGUCGGAAGUAUAGGGGGUAGCAAAAGCCGGGGGCAACAAGAUCCAGGUGUUAUUGGACAACAUCGAGGUGGCGGAACGCAAGGAGGCCUUCGGGGUGGAAUCUCGCAAGGAAUUUCUUCAAUUCUCGGGGGCAAAAUUAUACUGUGCGACGGCGAUGAUGAAACGCUUGCACAUUUGCUAUAAAUAUUACAACAACACUUUGAAACUAGAAUGGCUAAUCGCCGGAAACUAACGAUCAAGCGUUUCUCUUUUAUCGCGUAUUACGAAACACGCGAUAAUUUUGAACGUUGAGAAUUAUUGGGAUUUCCUAAAUUAAAUUGCACGUACCAAUUGUCAAUAGCACAUAUUAGAUAUUUCAGCUCUUCCAUGCCGUUCCGGCAUGACUCCGAUUUCUUCUUGCAAGUUGUAUCCCUUAUUUGUAUCGACAUUUUAUUUUAUCUUUGUUUUAUCUUUAU
RNA transcript from Temnothorax curvispinosus, 5071 nucleotides. RefSeq lists it as uncharacterized. The transcript is spliced from 9 exons. The record is from RefSeq and is a predicted model, not a curated record. Lineage: Eukaryota; Metazoa; Arthropoda; Insecta; Hymenoptera; Formicidae.